ACGAACGCUGGCGGCGUGCCUAAUCCAUGCAAGUCGAGCGGACUGAUUAAGAGCUUGCUCUUCUGACGUUAGCGGCGGACGGGUGAGUAACACGUGGGCAACCUGCCCUGUAGAUCGGGAUAACACCGAGAAAUCGGUGCUAAUACCGGGUAAUAUCUGAGAUCACCUGAUCUUAGGUUAAAAGAUGGCUCCGGCUAUCACUACAGGAUGGGCCCGCGGCGCAUUAGCUAGUUGGUAAGGUAAUGGCUUACCAAGGCGACGAUGCGUAGCCGACCUGAGAGGGUGAUCGGCCACACUGGGACUGAGACACGGCCCAGACUCCUACGGGAGGCAGCAGUAGGGAAUCUUCCGCAAUGGACGAAAGUCUGACGGAGCAACGCCGCGUGAGUGAUGAAGGGUUUCGGCUCGUAAAGCUCUGUUGUUAGGGAAGAAACAGUACCGAACGAACUAGGUCGGUACCUUGACGGUACCUAACCAGAAAGCCACGGCUAACUACGUG
This 499-nucleotide ribosomal RNA is filed under the name uncultured bacterium. Its description in RNAcentral is "partial 16S ribosomal RNA". It matches the Rfam family "Bacterial small subunit ribosomal RNA", at positions 29 to 507 of the family's 1533-position model. The record is from RNAcentral.